Molecule: long non-coding RNA, 1072 nt
Filed under: Gallus gallus (chicken)
Lineage: Eukaryota; Metazoa; Chordata; Aves; Galliformes; Phasianidae
Source: RNAcentral
CUGGAUUUCAACCCUAAUAGUGACAGAAUAAAAACAAUAAUAGUCCUUUAUUGCCAAAGUUGCAGUUUACUUUUGCACUGACAUUUUUGGUGCAUACUUCCUAUUAUGCACUUUCAGAGGAAGACAGAUAUUAGACCUGUACUAGUUUACUGCUGAAUUUGAAGAGGAAGCUUAGGAGAAACGUGAUUCAAUGUAAGUCUGGACCUUUUGUAAGCAUUGUUGCUGCUGCUGCAACUUGUGAAACAGAAGUGGAAUGUUACAAAUGAUCCUUUAAGAUACAAAAAUAGACUGCUCCUCAGGGCAUUCUACUCUUUCUUUGCGUCUUGGGCAUCUUUCUCUUCUUCAUCAGAGUAUACAGUGGGUUCCUCCCCGUCCUUCAGCAGCUUACCAACGUGGUGAUACUUAACCGGCCCGUAGAACUUGCUGGCGCGGGUCACGUCGAACACCUUCCCGUUGACGGCCAUGAGGAUGCGCGGGUCGCGCACGCCGUCGUAGGGCCGCAGCUGCUCCAGUGUGAAGUCGCGGCGCUUCAUCUUGGGCAGCGGCGGCGGACCCGCCUCGCCCGGCUGCGCCGCGGGCCGCUCGCCCCGCAGGAUCUGGUAGAGCAGGAAGAGGCAGAGGCCCAGCAGGCUCAGGUUGAGAGGCGAGCCCACGAUCUCCAGCAGCAGGCCACCCCCCUCGGUCGCCACCGCCUCCUCGCCCGCCAUCGCCGGCUCCUCGGCGGCCAUCGGCUCCGCUGCGCUCCGGCACGGCGAGCUGUGGGGCGGGGCGGGGCGGGGGAGGGAGGCGGCCGAGGGGCGGGCGGCGGCGGCGGCGCUCCUGCCGGCAGGGGGCGCUGUGAGCGCGGCGAUGGCAUCGCCGCCAUCGUCCGCUCUGCGCGGCGGGCUGAAGUGAGGGAGGCUCGGGCUCCUCCAGCAGCAAAACAACAGAAGCAGCAGCUGUGAUGUACUUUUAUAAUGUGCCAUUUGUCCACUUGCGGGCUUCUCUGCCCGGUCCGAAGGAAGCACUGACACGUUCGUCUGUUUAAUACGGGGCUCACGCAUAGCAGAGGAGCACGUUGCUGUCACCUGCC